CCCCUCUCAGAAUGACACCUGGAGAGUUUCCAGUACUCUACUGAUCUCUGCUACGGGAGGGAGAGUGAAGCAGAAGCAUACCCAUUCCAUUCCUAGCAUGGGCAGUGGCUAGCGAGUGGAAGGCAAUCUGCUACAAGU
Small nucleolar RNA from Ornithorhynchus anatinus (platypus), 138 nucleotides. The record is from RefSeq and is a predicted model, not a curated record. Lineage: Eukaryota; Metazoa; Chordata; Mammalia; Monotremata; Ornithorhynchidae.